RNAcentral lists this ribosomal RNA (872 nucleotides) under Sclerostagonospora fusiformis. RNAcentral's name for it is "partial 28S ribosomal RNA". It matches the Rfam family "Eukaryotic large subunit ribosomal RNA", at positions 56 to 952 of the family's 3401-position model. Lineage: Eukaryota; Fungi; Ascomycota; Dothideomycetes; Pleosporales; Phaeosphaeriaceae. The record is from RNAcentral.
AAGAACCAACAGGGAUUGCCCUAGUAACGGCGAGUGAAGCGGCAACAGCUCAAAUUUGAAAUCUGGCUCUUUUAGAGUCCGAGUUGUAAUUUGCAGAGGGCGCUUUGGCGUUGGCAGCGGUCCAAGUUCUUUGGAACAGGACGUCACAGAGGGUGAGAAUCCCGUACGUGGUCGCUAGCCUUCGCCGUGUAAAGCCCCUUCGACGAGUCGAGUUGUUUGGGAAUGCAGCUCUAAAUGGGAGGUAAAUUUCUUCUAAAGCUAAAUACUGGCCAGAGACCGAUAGCGCACAAGUAGAGUGAUCGAAAGAUGAAAAGCACUUUGGAAAGAGAGUCAAAUAGCACGUGAAAUUGUUGAAAGGGAAGCGCUUGCAGCCAGACUUGCCUGUAGUUGCUUAUCCGGACUUUUGUCCGGUGCACUCUUCUGCGGGCAGGCCAGCAUCAGUUUGGGCGGUUGGAUAAAGGUCUCUGUCAUGUACCUCCUUUCGGGGAGGCCUUAUAGGGGAGACGACAUGCAACCAGCCUGGACUGAGGUCCGCGCAUUUGCUAGGAUGCUGGCGUAAUGGCUGUAAGCGGCCCGUCUUGAAACACGGACCAAGGAGUCUAACAUCUAUGCGAGUGUUUGGGUGUCAAGCCCAGACGCGUAAUGAAAGUGAACGGAGGUGGGAACCUUUUAGGUGCACCAUCGACCGAUCCUGAUGUCUUCGGAAGGAUUUGAGUAAGAGCAUGGCUGUUGGGACCCGAAAGAUGGUGAACUAUGCUUGAAUAGGGUGAAGCCAGAGGAAACUCUGGUGGAGGCUCGCAGCGGUUCUGACGUGCAAAUCGAUCGUCAAAUUUGGGCAUAGGGGCGAAAGACUAAUCGAACUAUCUAGAGCU